GCGGGCAUAGUUUAGUGGUAAAACUCCAGCCUUCCAAGCUGAUCAUGCGGGUUCGAUUCCCGCUGCCCGCU
Molecule: transfer RNA, 71 nt
Filed under: Leptolyngbya sp. 'hensonii'
Lineage: Bacteria; Bacillati; Cyanobacteriota; Cyanophyceae; Leptolyngbyales; Leptolyngbyaceae
Rfam family: tRNA
About the family: Transfer RNA (tRNA) molecules are approximately 80 nucleotides in length. Their secondary structure includes four short double-helical elements and three loops (D, anti-codon, and T loops). Further hydrogen bonds mediate the characteristic L-shaped molecular structure. tRNAs have two regions of fundamental functional importance: the anti-codon, which is responsible for specific mRNA codon recognition, and the 3' end, to which the tRNAs corresponding amino acid is attached (by aminoacyl-tRNA synthetases). tRNAs cope with the degeneracy of the genetic code in two manners: having more than one tRNA (with a specific anti-codon) for a particular amino acid; and 'wobble' base-pairing, i.e. permitting non-standard base-pairing at the 3rd anti-codon position.
Source: Rfam by way of RNAcentral